GAUGAACGCUGGCGGCGUGCCUAAUACAUGCAAGUCGAGCGAACAGAUAAGGAGCUUGCUCCUUUGACGUUAGCGGCGGACGGGUGAGUAACACGUGGGUAACCUACCUAUAAGACUGGGAUAACUUCGGGAAACCGGAGCUAAUACCGGAUAAUAUUUCGAACCGCAUGGUUCGAUAGUGAAAGAUGGUUUUGCUAUCACUUAUAGAUGGACCCGCGCCGUAUUAGCUAGUUGGGAAGGUAACGGCUUACCAAGGCGACGCUACGUAGCCGACCUGAGAGGGUGAUCGGCCACACUGGAACUGAGACACGGUCCAGACUCCUACGGGAGGCAGCAGUAGGGAAUCUUCCGCAAUGGGCGAAAGCCUGACGGAGCAACGCCGCGUGAGUGAUGAAGGUCUUCGGAUCGUAAAACUCUGUUAUUAGGGAAGAACAUACGUGUAAGUAACUGUGCACGUCUUGACGGUACCUAAUCAGAAAGCCACGGCUAACUACGUG
RNAcentral lists this ribosomal RNA (497 nucleotides) under uncultured bacterium. RNAcentral describes it as "partial 16S ribosomal RNA". It matches the Rfam family "Bacterial small subunit ribosomal RNA", at positions 28 to 507 of the family's 1533-position model. The record is from RNAcentral.